Molecule: ribosomal RNA, 439 nt
Filed under: uncultured bacterium
Lineage: Bacteria
Description: partial 16S ribosomal RNA
Rfam family: Bacterial small subunit ribosomal RNA
Source: RNAcentral
CUACGGGCCGCACCAGUGAGGGAUAUUGGACAAUGGGGGAAACCCUGAUCCAGCGAUGCCGCGUGAAUGAUGAAGGUCUAAGGAUUGUAAAGUUCUUUCGCCUGUGAUGAUGAUGACAGUAGCAGGUAAAGAAGCCCUGGCAAACUUCGUGCCAGCAGCCGCGGUAAUACGGGGAGGGCAAGUGUUGUUCGGAAUGACUGGGCGUAAAGGGUGCGUAGGCUGUCUUUUAAGUGAGAUGUGAAAUCUCUGAGCUUAACUCAGAAAUUGCAUUUCAUACUGGAAGACUUGAGGGUAGUAGAGGAAACGGGAAUUCCUAGUGUAGAGGUGAAAUUCGUAGAUACUAGGAGGAACACCAGAGGCGAAGGCGAGUUUCUGGGCUACAUCUGACGUUGAGGCACGAAAGCGUGGGGAGCAAACAGGAUUAGAUACCCCAGUAGUC